RNAcentral lists this ribosomal RNA (362 nucleotides) under Tityus obscurus. RNAcentral's name for it is "partial 16S ribosomal RNA". Lineage: Eukaryota; Metazoa; Arthropoda; Arachnida; Scorpiones; Buthidae. The record is from RNAcentral.
UAUUUUCCUUCUGCAGAAAUAGGUUUUGUAAUCCACAUCGAGGUCGCUAUUACACCUGUCGAUUAGGUCUCUAUAGGUGUAUAACGCUGUUAUCCCUAAAGUAGCUUGUUUGAAUUUUAGAAUUUCUAGGUAUUUUAAUUAAAUUAGGAUUUUCUAGGAGUGUUGGAACUCUUUGCCGCCCCAGCUGAACACAAAGUUUAUAUAAUAGAUAUAGUUGUGUAAAGUUUUAUAGGGUCUUCUUGUCUUUAAGAUUUAUUUUAGCCUUUUUACUAAAAAGUAAAAUUAAGUGUAAAUAUAAGAAAAAAUUUUUCUUAAGUUAACUCUUUCAUUCCAGUCUUCAAUUAUAAGACUAAUGAUUAUGC